Molecule: ribosomal RNA, 253 nt
Filed under: uncultured bacterium
Lineage: Bacteria
Description: partial 16S ribosomal RNA
Rfam family: Bacterial small subunit ribosomal RNA
Source: RNAcentral
UACAGAGGUCUCAAGCGUUGUUCGGAUUCAUUGGGCGUAAAGGGUGCGUAGGCGGCGCGGUAAGUCGGGUGUGAAAUCUCGGAGCUUAACUCCGAAACUGCAUUCGAUACUGCCGUGCUUGAGGACAGGAGAGGGAAGUGGAAUUCCCGGUGUAGUGGUGAAAUGCGUAGAUAUCGGGAGGAACACCAGUGGCGAAGGCGACUUUCUGGCCUGUUCUUGACGCUGAGGCGCGAAAGCUAGGGGAGCAAACGGG